CUGGAAGGCUGUGUGCAGCUAUCGAGGUACACUGACUACAGCCAUGGUAGGGACGGGGGAAGCUGCCUGAGUUCUAUAAUUAAAGCCAUGCUCAACAAAUGCUCCUAAAGCCAGAGGUCACAUCUGAUUUCAUCUAAAACAUUCCUCUUGUUCCCCUCUUAACCCAGUCUUGACUUUGGAGCAGUCUCAUAGCUACAGCAUAAGGGAUGGGGGCUGGUGAACUGAGAGAAGCAAGAGCCAUCCAUGGAAGGCUCAGAACAGGCUCUGCCUGUAUGUUUGCUGAACAGUAUUGGAAAACCACGAGUGCUGAACACCCAGUAAAAUCUGAGAGGGAAUGAAGGAAGCCAGAGUUGACCAGGCAUCCCAAAAGGAGGAGCCAUCCCAGACCCAUGCAGAUGUGAAGAACAGAAAUUGAAUGUGGAGGUCAUUGAGAACUUGUAUUCUGUGAAGGAGGGCUGUUUGGGUAGGAACUGUCUCUCCAGAGCCCAAGGGAGAUUUAGCCCACAUUCCAUAUAGAUACUCAACAAGGAAACUUGGUUUCCUUCCUUUAUUUGUAGUAAGCCACGAACUAAAGCAUUUAUAUCACUGUAAUAGCAUGCUUGCCCAUCAUGGUUUCAUUGUAUAUACAUAUACUACCAUACUAAAUUUAAAAGGACUGUAGACCUGGUUCAAGUUACACAGGGAAAUAGCAACUGCUUUCUAU
This 703-nucleotide long non-coding RNA is filed under the name Mus spicilegus (steppe mouse). RNAcentral describes it as "lncRNA (ENSMSIG00000029727.1)". The record is from RNAcentral. Lineage: Eukaryota; Metazoa; Chordata; Mammalia; Rodentia; Muridae.